Molecule: long non-coding RNA, 292 nt
Organism: Selaginella moellendorffii
Lineage: Eukaryota; Viridiplantae; Streptophyta; Lycopodiopsida; Selaginellales; Selaginellaceae
Exons: 3
Source: RefSeq, a predicted model, not a curated record
CGUCGAUCAUCGCUUGUGGGAAGAGCACCUCAGAGCUACAAUCAGCUGUACGUGAAGAUCUGAAGCUGCUACCGAUUGAAAAGCUCAGGAAACCGUUGUCAAUGGCCAUGCGCCGGAAAAAUGACAGUCUUUUUUCGAGACUCUCAAGCCCCUAUUUGUUCCAGGUUCUCGAGGCUGGAACCACGACUAGAAUCAAGGUGCUCGAGGCUGUAACCAAGAGAAAAAAAAGAAAUUUUCGUCCCUGUACUUCUCCUCGGGACAGCCACAGCUCCACGGCUCCAUGGCUAUUCGC